This is a long non-coding RNA of Sinocyclocheilus anshuiensis, 102 nucleotides long. RefSeq lists it as uncharacterized. The transcript has 4 exons. The record is from RefSeq and is a predicted model, not a curated record. NCBI's taxonomy places the organism in Eukaryota, Metazoa, Chordata, Actinopteri, Cypriniformes, Cyprinidae.
GUAUAGUAUUUCAGUCUGGCGAGUAAACAAACAAAUAUACUAGCCAAUGACGAUUCAAUUGCCAAGAUGUCCGUUGAGGGCUGCAUAGCAUGUUUUAGCACU